RNAcentral lists this ribosomal RNA (541 nucleotides) under uncultured bacterium. RNAcentral's name for it is "bacterial SSU rRNA". It matches the Rfam family "Bacterial small subunit ribosomal RNA", at positions 355 to 896 of the family's 1533-position model. The record is from RNAcentral.
UGAGGAAUAUUGGUCAAUGGACGGAAGUCUGAACCAGCCAUGCCGCGUGCAGGAUGACGGCUCUAUGAGUUGUAAACUGCUUUUGUACGAGGGUAAACUUGGAUACGUGUAUCCAACUGAAAGUAUCGUACGAAUAAGGAUCGGCUAACUCCGUGCCAGCAGCCGCGGUAAUACGGAGGAUCCGAGCGUUAUCCGGAUUUAUUGGGUUUAAAGGGUGCGUAGGUGGUUUUAUAAGUUAGAGGUGAAAGCUAGAUGCUUAACAUUUAAAUUGCCUCUAAUACUGUAGAACUAGAGACUAGUUGCAGAAGGCGGAAUGUGUGGUGUAGCGGUGAAAUGCUUAGAUAUCACACAGAACACCGAUUGCGAAGGCAGCUUUCUAAGCUAUGUCUGACACUGAGGCACGAAAGCGUGGGGAGCAAACAGGAUUAGAUACCCUGGUAGUCCACGCUGUAAACGAUGAUAGCUCGUUGUCGGCGAUAUACCGUCGGUGACUAAGGGAAACCGAUAAGCUAUCCACCUGGGGAGUACGUUCGCAAGGAUG